UGGAAUCCGUGAGGCCAAGAACCCCAGGUCAGAGAACACGAGGCUUGCCACCAUCUUGGAAGUGGCCCACCGCCAUCUUGGAAGUGGCUCGCCACCAUCUUGGGAGCUCUGUGAGCAAGGACCCCCGGUAACAUUUUGGCGAUCACAAAGGGACCUCCAAAGUGUUUGUCUCUUCCAGAAUUGAAACUGUAAAACUACAAAUGGUUCUUCAAAUGGAGCCCCAGAUGCAGUCCAUGACUAAGACCCACCGCGGAUCCCUGGACCAGCCUGCUAGCCCAUGCUCCAGUGUUAAUGGCAUCGAAGGCACCCCUCCCGAGGAAAUCUCAACUGCACAACCCCUACUAUGCCCCAAUUCAGCAGGAAGCAGUUAGAGCAGUCAUCAGCCAACUUCCCCAACAGCACUUGGGUUUUCCUGUUGAGAGGGGGUACUGAGAGACAGGACUAGCUGGAUUUCCUAGGCCAACUAAGAAUCCCUAAGCCUAGCUGGGAAGGUGACCACACCCACCUUUAAACAUGGGGCUUGCAACUUAGCUCACACCCAACCAAUCAGAGAGCUCACUAAAAUGCUAAUUAGGCAAAAACAGGAGGUAAAGAAAUAGCCAAUCAUCUAUUGCCUGAGAGCACAGCUGGAGGGACAAGGAUCGGGAUAUAAACCCAGGCAUUCUGGCCAGCAACAGCAACCCCCUUUGGGUCCCCUCCCUUUGUAUGGGAGCUCUGUUUUCACUCUAUUUCACUCUAUUAAAUCUUGCAACUGAAAAAAAAAAUGCAAGGUGAGAAAAUAGGUACAUUGCACACAAAUAUUUGUGUAAUAAAAAGGUGGGAUAAGAAUAUGAUAUAUAAUCAUAUUUAUUUGUAUUUGCAUACAGAAAAACUGAAAAGAGAUAUUAAAAACAAAAUCAUUUACCACCUAUGAGGUAGGUACGGG
RNAcentral lists this long non-coding RNA (925 nucleotides) under Homo sapiens (human). RNAcentral's name for it is "HSALNT0283990". Lineage: Eukaryota; Metazoa; Chordata; Mammalia; Primates; Hominidae. The record is from RNAcentral.